GAUCCUGGCUCAGGAUGAACGCUGGCGGCGUGCUUAACACAUGCAAGUCGAACGAUUAAACCGCCCUCGGGCGGACAUAGAGUGGCGAACGGGUGAGUAACACGUGACCAACCUGCCCCCGCACUCCGGGAUAACCUGCGGAAACGCAGGCUAAUACCGGAUACUCCGCGCAGGCCGCAUGGCCCGCGCGGGAAAGCCCUUACGGUGCGGGAUGGGGUCGCGGCCCAUUAGGUAGACGGCGGGGUGACGGCCCACCGUGCCCGCGAUGGGUAGCCGAGCUGAGAGGCUGACCGGCCACAUUGGGACUGAGAUACGGCCCAGACUCCUACGGGAGGCAGCAGUGGGGAAUUUUGCGCAAUGGGGGCAACCCUGACGCAGCAACGCCGCGUGCGGGAAGAAGGCCUUCGGGUUGUAAACCGCUUUCAGCGGGGACGAUAAUGACGGUACCCGCAGAAGAAGCUCCGGCUAACUACGUGCCAGCCGCAGC
RNAcentral lists this ribosomal RNA (487 nucleotides) under uncultured bacterium. RNAcentral describes it as "bacterial SSU rRNA". It matches the Rfam family "Bacterial small subunit ribosomal RNA", at positions 15 to 518 of the family's 1533-position model. The record is from RNAcentral.